Molecule: long non-coding RNA, 737 nt
Filed under: Nicotiana benthamiana
Lineage: Eukaryota; Viridiplantae; Streptophyta; Magnoliopsida; Solanales; Solanaceae
Description: long non-coding RNA (NBEN_LNC041558)
Source: RNAcentral
CCGAUCAUCGUUGGAGGUUCCAAUUCGUUUAUCGAGGCGCUUGUCCACGACAACUCUCAUAAUUUUCGUACGAGGUAUGAUUGUUGUUUCCUAUGGGUCGAUGUGUCUAUGAACGUACUACAUUCAUUUUUGUACGAACGAGUGGACGCAAUGAUGGAGCUAGGUAUGAUUGACGAGGUAAGAAACAUGUUCAAUCCAAAAAACACAGAUUAUACCAAAGGCAUACGUAAAGCAAUUGGUGUACCAGAAUUUGACAGUUAUUUUCGAGCUGAAUUAUCAAACUCAUUAGACGUGGAGACGCGCGAGAGGCUACUGAAGGAAGCUAUUAAUGAAGUGAAAAUCAAUAACUGUAUACUAGCCAGUAAACAAUUAGAAAAAAUAAAGAGACUGAUAAAUGUUAAGGGAUGGAAAAUUCAAAGAUUAGAUGCAACAGAAGUUUUUAGGAGGAAACAGAGAAAUGAAGAGGAAGAAGCAGAGGAAAUUUGGAAGAAUAUGGUGAUGGGACAGAGCAUAAAGAUUGUGGGUAAAUUUUUAUGCGAAAAUAAUAGGAGCAAAAUGGUUUACAGAAAUGAUGUGACAGCCAUUAAGAGAGCAGCAGCAUCGGCCAUAGCUCAAUAUUAGAGCAAGUUGUGCAUUAAUCUGAAGACCUUUUUUUUGUACCUUAGUCGCGUGAUCGAUCGCCAGUUUUGGGAGAUAACAUUCAUAUAUGUCCACUUUUAGCAUAUAGUUUAUUUUAU